Molecule: transfer RNA, 75 nt
Filed under: Escherichia coli
Lineage: Bacteria; Pseudomonadati; Pseudomonadota; Gammaproteobacteria; Enterobacterales; Enterobacteriaceae
Description: tRNA-fMET from Escherichia coli (PDB 8EIU, chain Y)
Rfam family: tRNA
About the family: Transfer RNA (tRNA) molecules are approximately 80 nucleotides in length. Their secondary structure includes four short double-helical elements and three loops (D, anti-codon, and T loops). Further hydrogen bonds mediate the characteristic L-shaped molecular structure. tRNAs have two regions of fundamental functional importance: the anti-codon, which is responsible for specific mRNA codon recognition, and the 3' end, to which the tRNAs corresponding amino acid is attached (by aminoacyl-tRNA synthetases). tRNAs cope with the degeneracy of the genetic code in two manners: having more than one tRNA (with a specific anti-codon) for a particular amino acid; and 'wobble' base-pairing, i.e. permitting non-standard base-pairing at the 3rd anti-codon position.
Source: RNAcentral
GCGGGGUGGAGCAGCCUGGUAGCUCGUCGGGCUCAUAACCCGAAGGUCGUCGGUUCAAAUCCGGCCCCCGCAACC